AAAGAAGGCCGUUACUGAACCCACUGCUCAGACCUCUGAUGGAAGCGGCGAGAAAUCGUUAGAGCUGGCGGAAGAGUUGCUAGAGAAGGGAUCCAAGGCCAUGAAGGAUGAUGAUUUCAAUGAGGCUGUUGAUUGCUUCAGCCGUGCUCUUGAGAUUAGAGCUGCGCAUUAUGGUGAACUGGCUUCAGAAUGUGUCAAGUUGUACUACAAGUAUGGAUGUGCUUUAUUGUACAAAGCCCAGGAGGAA
This 247-nucleotide unclassified non-coding RNA is filed under the name Hevea brasiliensis (rubber tree). Lineage: Eukaryota; Viridiplantae; Streptophyta; Magnoliopsida; Malpighiales; Euphorbiaceae. The record is from RNAcentral.